GACGAACGCUGGCGGCGUGCUUAACACAUGCAAGUCGAACGGUAAGGCCCUUCGGGGUACACGAGUGGCGAACGGGUGAGUAACACGUGGGUGAUCUGCCCUGCACUUCGGGAUAAGCCUGGGAAACUGGGUCUAAUACCGGAUAGGACUCCGGACUGCAUGGUCUGGGGUGGAAAGCUUUUGCGGUGUGGGAUGGGCCCGCGGCCUAUCAGCUUGUUGGUGGGGUGAUGGCCUACCAAGGCGACGACGGGUAGCCGGCCUGAGAGGGUGACCGGCCACACUGGGACUGCGAUACGGCCCAGACUCCUACGGGAGGCAGCAGUGGGGAAUAUUGCACAAUGGGCGCAAGCCUGAUGCAGCGACGCCGCGUGAGGGAUGACGGCCUUCGGGUUGUAAACCUCUUUCAGCAUCGACGAAGCGAAAGUGACGGUAGGUGCAGAAUAAGCCCCGGCUAACUUCGUGCCAGCCGCCGCGGUAA
This 478-nucleotide ribosomal RNA is filed under the name uncultured bacterium. RNAcentral describes it as "partial 16S ribosomal RNA". It matches the Rfam family "Bacterial small subunit ribosomal RNA", at positions 28 to 523 of the family's 1533-position model. The record is from RNAcentral.